CGUAUGUGUGAAUAUUUCAUUGGCAUGAGCACGAAAAUACAUUAUGUUUUCUGGAAAAUGAGAAAGUGGAUUUUAGCCAAACAGAAUUUGAAGAAAGAAAGAUUGUUUUACAGUUUUAGCUUGGAUGCUUGAAUUCGUUACUGGCUUAGUGGAGGAUACUCAAGAUGUUUAUACAGUUAUGAGAUAAGUGGGCGAAGGACGCAUUGGCGAGAAGCCCAAAGAGUAUGAAAGUUAUGAAAGUUAAGAGAGUGUCCUACUAAGCAGUAAUCGAAUGAAGGUAGCUCAAGUAAGUGGUUUGAAAGAGAAAGUGAAAGUUUGAGAAAGACAUAAUGAGAUUUCGAUGAUUUGUUUAUAUGCAAAGCUGGUUUACUUACUGAGUUUCGUGCUCAUUAUAGUUAUUGUGAUUCAAUUUCCGUAAAUCAGGAUUCAUUUGUGAUGAGUAUCGAGAAGGACUUGAAUGGAGGAAUUAGAUGGUUUGGCAUGAUUUUAAAUUCUUCCGCUGCAGUUUGCGUUGUAUAUUUGUAUUUGCGACGAUAUAUUUUUGAGGUAUCAGAGUAGCGCAGCGAAAGCGUGAUAUGAUUGGUUUUGAUCUUUAUAAGGAUUUAUAGAUCGUAAGUAAUUCUUGAGGUUUAGAUUCUGUGAGCAUGACCACAAGUGAAUUUCGAGGACGAAAUUCUUUGAAGGGGGGAAGUUUGUAAUACCCCGCACCCGAUUAUUUUUGACUCUCCACUUAUAUAAAUUGAGUGCGAUUAAAAGCUCAAGUAGUCGGAUUUUAUUUUUCGCCUCGGGUCCGGUAUUAGCUUAAUUUGUAUUAAGCUUAAGUUUAAAAAAAAAAAACGAAGAGAAAAAGAAAAAGAAGUCGGGUUUUAUAUAUGGAAAUGGGGGGAACUGUUAUGGAUUCACAAAGAAAGAGAGAGAAGGCACGAGAGAGAGAGUCUUUGACCCGUUUGACCCGACCCGACCCAACCCGAACCCGCGACUUGACCCGACGAGUUCUCCCGUUUCCGGCCACCUCACCGGCCGUGCUUGGUACCGAUUUGAAGCUUGAGAGAUGAGCAACGUAUCCAUGCCGUCCUUGCUGCCGGAAAACGAUCGGAAAGUCACCGAUCGAAGUGUUGAAGGUUCGCGGAAUCGCCGGCUUGAUUCGCCGUGAUUUCGCCAGAUUUGGGUGACACCACCGGUUGGAUUUUGUUCCUCAUGAUUCCCUCUUCCAUUUCCGACCAUCCAUAGGCACCGAGAGUCGUUGUUUUGCCGCCGGUCGAUUGUUGGAACUCACGGCGGUCGAGCUAGAUUCCGGCGUCGUUGCCGCGCGUCGGAGCUCACCGCCGGUACCAUUGAACUCAGCGUGAUUGGCACUUUAAGAUUUGAGCUUCCCGUCGCCGUCGGAUAAAUUCCGGUGACCGUUGACCGGCAAGGGCAUUUCGGUAAUUUCAUAACAUAAGGGCAAUGUUGUAAUUUCAGAUUUUGUGGGUAUUUUGGUAAUUGCUGUAAUUGAGGAUAAAGUUGGUAAUUUAUGAUUUUGAGGUUAAUUUGGUAAUUUUGAUAUGAGGGUAUUUUGGUAAUAUUGAAUUCAAGGGCAAAUCGGUAAUUCACAAAACCUAAGGGUGAAUAUGUAAUUUGUGGAAUCAGUGGAUAAAUUGGUAAUUUUAAGUUAGGGCAGUGAAGUAAUUUGAGAUUACGAUGGUAAUUCGGUAAUUUAAGUCGUUAAGGAUAUUUUGGUAAAUUUACGCUCCGAGGGUAAUUUCAUAAUUUUUGACAUUGCAGUUAUUUAUGUGAUCUGAAUUGAGGACCAUUUAGUAAUUGAAGAUUCUGAGGAUAAUUUGGUAAAAUAUUAAUGUUGGGAGCAUUUUGGUAAUUUUGGUAUGUAGGGGUAUUUCAGUAAUUUUGUACAUGCGGAAAUAGUUUAUUGUUGAUAGAUAUUCGUUUCGAGAUUUAUUAUAUUAAAUUGGUUGUAUUUCAAAGUUACGGAGAAUGAUUUUGGCGUUUCCUUGAUUAGGAGGAUUCGCGAACGAGAAUUAAUCCACGGACUUUGUUGACACCGAGUUUGGACAUUGUCACUGUGAGUGGAAUAUACAAAACCUAUUUUUAGAGUAUAUGUUGAUUUUAUGAUACAGUGCAGUAUGUUUUUAUAAAUAAGUAUUUGAUGCUCGAUUUAAUGCUUUUCUAGAAAAUUGAUUUUUUAUUUAUGUGUUGAUAUUUAUUGUUAUUGAGAAUGAGUUUGAUUAAUGAUUUUACUAUCGUUUUUUUAGUAAAGGCAUGAUAUUAGAAUUGAGCAGAUUUGAGAUAUGUUGAAUAGAAAGAAAAUGAGAUUUCAGAUGUGAUUAUAUGUUUAUAUACAUGAGUAUAAAUAUUGUUUUUGAAAACAUUAGACAGUACCCUUCCCUCCAGAUACAGAGAUACAGAUAUGAGAUAUAGAUCAGUUACAGAGAUACAGAGAUACAAAGAUACAGAUAUGAGAUACAGAUCAGUUACAGAGAUAUAGAGAUACAUAUAUGAGAUACAGAUCAAUUACAGAGAUACAGUGAUACAGAUAUGGGAUACAGAUCAGUUAUUGAGAUACAGUGAUACAGAUAUGAGAUACAGAGAGUUGAGAUACAGAUGAGAUACAGGCCUUUGGGGCCCGUCUGAGUACACACAGAGGCUUUGGGCCGUGUGCUUGGGCGCUUUUGUCCUUUGGGGACUAGAUUAUGCAUGCACAGAUAUGAUGAGAUAUGAGAUAGUAUUUCCCUGUCUAUCCGUUGUAGCUCCGGGGCAUGACGUUACCCAGAUAGUGCGUCAUUGCCCGUCCGUUGAGGUCCGGAUAUGACGAGAUUUCCCUGGGUACUUGUUUGAUGAUAGUUUUGGUAUUCAGUAUUUGAUAUAAUAAGUAUUAUGUUUCCAUUGAUUUUAUGCAGAUUUACGUAAUAUAGUAUUUCAGUGACUGAUUUGAAUUAAAUAAGUUUAUGUAAGUUCUUAUGAUAUUCUGAUGAAAUUGAUUUGAGAAAUUGAUGAUUUGAGAAAUUGAUUUGAAAAAGAUUAAAUUAUUUUUUAAAAGAAUUGAUUUUUAAAAUUAUUAUCCACUCACUGAGUUCACUGAGUUUUAUACUCAUUCCGCUUUUAUUAUAUUUUCUCCCCCCCAGGAGACUUGCAGGUACAUCAGUCGACUCAGUAACGAUAGUUAGAUUUGAAAUUGUGGCCACGUAAUGGUGCUAGAAGUCGUAGAUUUAAUUAUUUUAAUUAUUUGGGAUAUUGCGAAUUGUAUUUAUUUAUUAUAUUUUGUAAUUAAGGAUUACCAGUGUAUUUUAUUAUUAGAAGGGUUUGGGUGAAAUUUGAGGUGUUGACUUGAGAAGUUGGUUAUGAAGGAUGGUUGGAUAUCAAAUUAUUUUGGGAGUGUUGAUUUGUAAUUUGCAGGAUUGGAUAUGUUUUAAUUAUAAGGGAGACUCUGCCGAAAUUUUUAUAGAAUAGUUUCGAUUUUACGAGUUUAGAUAGACUGGUCCUAGGGAGUUGCGGGGCGGGUUGUUUUAGUUGGUAUCAGAGCCAGGUUUUAGAUUCUGUAGACUUUACUGUCGUAAAUAGAAUAAGUUUUGAUUAUUAAAGUCGGAAUUGAUAUUUUGUGGGCGCCAUUCGGAUUUAUUGUAGCCGUGGAUGUGAUCGUGGCCGUACUAGACUAGUAGCUGGGUUGACUCCAGCAGAUGUACUGUACACCUUGAGGGAUCAUUACUUAUGACAGCGUAUGAAGAGAGAGAUAGUAUAAUGUUUGUCAGCAGAUUAAGGCUGUGUAUCAGAGGCCUGCUGAGUUAUCGCAGAUGUUUUUGUUUAUUAUUGAGUGAAAGUGGAAACACAUCACUAUGGACAAGUUAGGAAGUAUUUAUAUGGCUGGAAUAAUUUGAUUUUAUGGAGUACUUGUAUUUAUUGUCUCAUAU
RNAcentral lists this long non-coding RNA (3902 nucleotides) under Citrus x clementina. Its description in RNAcentral is "Citrus clementina (C. clementina) long non-coding RNA (CCLE_LNC000025)". The record is from RNAcentral. Lineage: Eukaryota; Viridiplantae; Streptophyta; Magnoliopsida; Sapindales; Rutaceae.